GUGGUGCUGGAGUUGUUUCAGUCUUCCAGGGCUGUUGUCUUCCCUUGGAUUGCGGUGCAGCUGGUGUGCCAGGAGGAAGGUCCCCAUCCUGGGUGCUGCAGAACUGUCAGGAGUAGCUCCUGUGUGGUGACUGCUCUGUGCUGGUGCUUCUGGUCCUGAAGGUGGGAGGAGUGAGGAGGAGCUGGGUUCUGUGUUCCUGCUGAAGGAGAAAAUUCAUUUCAUUUCAAACCUCAGUGUUUGCCCCCAAAAUACUGGUAACCUGAGCUACUGCUUCACUGCACAACCCUUUGGAUUGAAUUGUGAAUCAGAAAGCAUACUGGAUCAGAAGGGACUUGCAACUCUGGGAGACUGCCCGGACUUCAACUGCUAUGGCUGGGAGCAGCGUCCAAAUGCUUUGUGAACUGUCAGCCAUGGGGUGUGACUGCUGUCUCAGAGAAGCCUGUUUUGCUAUCUCACCCCUCUUUCUGACAAGUUUUUCUUCAUCUGCAACCUCUACCUUCUCUGACCUCUACAGCCUCCUUUCAGCUUAAAAAGAGAGGGAAUUUGAGCCUUCCUUGGAUGCUCCCUGAGAGCUCUUAUUUUAUAUUAGAGGUUGCAGAGCUGCACACUAUGCUCACGGUGAGGCUUUACCUCCCUGGAGCAGUGUGGGAUGAUCCCUUCCUUUGUUCAGCCGGUUGUGCUGGGCCUGAGGUGCCCCAGGGUGUGGUCAGCCUUCUAAAUGACCAGG
Long non-coding RNA from Gallus gallus (chicken), 727 nucleotides. The record is from Ensembl. Lineage: Eukaryota; Metazoa; Chordata; Aves; Galliformes; Phasianidae.